This 765-nucleotide small RNA is filed under the name Pluteus cinereofuscus. Its description in RNAcentral is "eukaryotic LSU rRNA". The stretch from base 256 to 409 matches the Rfam family "5.8S ribosomal RNA". The record is from RNAcentral. Lineage: Eukaryota; Fungi; Basidiomycota; Agaricomycetes; Agaricales; Pluteaceae.
GAUCAUUAGUGAAUAAACUCGUGUGGGUUGUUGCUGACCUCCUCGGAGGUAUGUGCACACCUGCCAUUGUUUCAUUCAAUCCACUCCCACCUGUGCACUCUCUGUAGGCCAAACCAUCAAUCUUUCAGGCUCUCUAAGGGCCUGGUGUGAGGAACUGCUCCGGCUUUCCUUGGAUGGUGUGGUCUACGUUUUUAUCAACACUGCAUGUAACCGAAUGUCUGUUCUGGGCUCUAUAUGACCCAUAAAACCUUAUACAACUUUCAACAACGGAUCUCUUGGCUCUCGCAUCGAUGAAGAACGCAGCGAAAUGCGAUAAGUAAUGUGAAUUGCAGAAUUCAGUGAAUCAUCGAAUCUUUGAACGCACCUUGCGCUCCUUGGYAUUCCGAGGAGCAUGCCUGUUUGAGUGUCAUUAAAUUCUCAACCUCACUUCCCUUGUGGUGGUGAAGGUUGGAUAUGGGAGCUGCUGGCCUUCUUGGGUCAGCUCUUCUGAAAUCUAUUAGCAGGGCCUUUGUAUGCAAAACUGCAGCUUGGUAAUGAUGGGAUGUCUUACCAGGUCACAGACAAGCAUGUGCUUUGCUCACAGCCGUCUCUUUGAGACAAAYCCACUUGACAAUUUGACCUCAAAUCAGGUAGGACUACCCGCUGAACUUAAGCAUAUCAAUAAGCGGAGGAAAAGAAACUAACAAGGAUUCCCCUAGUAACUGCGAGUGAAGCGGGAAGAGCUCAAAUUUAAAAUCUGGCGGUCUCUGGCUGUCCGAGUUGUAA